This 497-nucleotide ribosomal RNA is filed under the name uncultured bacterium. RNAcentral's name for it is "partial 16S ribosomal RNA". It matches the Rfam family "Bacterial small subunit ribosomal RNA", at positions 28 to 507 of the family's 1533-position model. The record is from RNAcentral.
GAUGAACGCUGGCGGCGUGCCUAAUACAUGCAAGUCGAGCGAACGGACGAGAAGCUUGCUUCUCUGAUGUUAGCGGCGGACGGGUGAGUAACACGUGGAUAACCUACCUAUAAGACUGGGAUAACUUCGGGAAACCGGAGCUAAUACCGGAUAAUAUUUUGAACCGCAUGGUUCAAAAGUAAAAGGCGGUCUUGCUGUCACUUAUAGAUGGAUCCGCGCUGCAUUAGCUAGUUGGUAAGGUGACGGCUUACCAAGGCAACGAUGCAUAGCCGACCUGAGAGGGUGAUCGGCCACACUGGAACUGAGACACGGUCCAGACUCCUGCGGGAGGCAGCAGUAGGGAAUCUUACGCAAUGGGCGAAAGCCUGACGGAGCAACGCCGCGUGAGUGAUGAAGGUCUUCGGAUCGUAAAACUCUGUUAUUAGGGAAGAACAUAUGUGUAAGUAACUGUGCACAUCUUGACGGUACCUAAUCAGAAAGCCACGGCUAACUACGUG